ACGCUCGACACCUACGGGAAGCAGCAGUAGGGAAUCUUCCACAAUGGGCGCAAGCCUGAUGGAGCAACACCGCGUGAGUGAAGAAGGGUUUCGGCUCGUAAAGCUCUGUUGUUGGAGAAGAACGUGCGUGAGAGUAACUGUUCACGCAGUGACGGUAUCCAACCAGAAAGUCACGGCUAACUACGUGCCAACAGCCGCGGUAAUCUGAGCGGGCUGGCAAGGC
This 223-nucleotide ribosomal RNA is filed under the name uncultured bacterium. RNAcentral describes it as "partial 16S ribosomal RNA". It matches the Rfam family "Bacterial small subunit ribosomal RNA", at positions 326 to 539 of the family's 1533-position model. The record is from RNAcentral.